AACCCAUGAUGUCGGCAUAACCUAAAAAGGUCCUUGAAUUGUUCAUGUGCCUCAAACAAUAUUUUAGCCUCUCCUUGCUUAAAUGCUGAGAUCUCCUAUCUGAUCUU
Dioscorea cayenensis subsp. rotundata (Guinea yam) is the source of this 107-nucleotide small nucleolar RNA. Lineage: Eukaryota; Viridiplantae; Streptophyta; Magnoliopsida; Dioscoreales; Dioscoreaceae. The record is from RefSeq and is a predicted model, not a curated record.